AAUUUACCUGACAAAUUGCUGUGUGGUUUAAUGAAAUAACGCAAUGCAUUAGCCCAGUACUGGCAUGUUCUAAAUUCCCAAUAAAUGGUGUCUAUUACUGGUAACCCUUCACUUCUGAGCCACAUCUGUAAGAUGAGGAUAAUUAUACCCCAUGCAUAGAAUUUGGGUGGUGGUGGGAAUUAGAGGACAAAAUACUUAUAGUAUAUCCAGCCUAGUGAGGAGCAACAGCCCAGCAGAUAAGGGGCACCCGACCCUUGUGUCUACUCCAGUUUCCUUUCCCCUGGAUCUGUAUAGGAGAAAUCACCAGAUGUUUUCACCAACUGCCACUAUUUGCUGAAUAUCUUUAAGACUGGUCCUUUGCUUUGUCAAUCCUUGAGGGAGUUGCUCAGAUGGUGUUUGCUACUACACACUUCCUGUCUGCCUGCGUGCUGGGCUGCCAGGAGAGCCACGAAAUAAUAAAAUUAUUCUUCUCCCCAGAUAGCAAUUCCCCUACAUUUCUUCACUUUAUCAAUUACACACGUCUUUUGAGCGGAAUUUUCCCUGACCUGAUCACAAAGGGUAAUGAGGGGUGAGGCCUGCGCUGGCUGUAAUUGCAACUUGCAGGGCCUUGCUCCAAGUAGAUUUUCACGUCACUUUGGCAGUGCAGAAGUUCUCAGAGUCCCACUAGGACUGAUGAGCUGGGGGAUGAGGGAGAGUCCCUUGGCCUUGGCGUUCACACUCCACCCUGGCUCCAAAGUCGGCAACAAGGGCACAAGCUCUGAAGGCAGCGUGGAGGCUGUCAAGUCGAGGGCCUUGUGUUAUGGUUGGGUGGAGAUCAAUUACCUCCAAAAAUUGACCUUGACCUUCACCUCUCCCUUUAUUUUCCAUCUCAUUUUCUGGUUUCUUUCCACAGAAGAAAAAAAAAAAAAAAGAAAAGGUGACCCUUCGUGAGUCACCCAUUCUCUUCAUCUGCAUCUUCUCCCCUUUCCUUCUCUCCUGGGCUCACUC
Molecule: long non-coding RNA, 987 nt
Filed under: Marmota monax (woodchuck)
Lineage: Eukaryota; Metazoa; Chordata; Mammalia; Rodentia; Sciuridae
Source: RNAcentral